UUUCUAGUAAAUCGCUUCAAUGUGGUCAUUUGCAUGAUAGUGGAACUUUACAUUUGCCCCUCUGUUCCUCCACAUGUUCCGUUGGAAUAUCUACUGUUUCUUCAAGUUGUACUAUUGGUCUUUCUCAUCUUCUCUGGCUCAGCUUCUUCUCUCCCUCUGCCACUUAUUUGUCCUUCUUUCUUUCAUCUCCUCGUGUGUGGACAUGCUUCAUUCUACAGUUACCCCAUUUGCUGCAAGUGAUAACAGCAUUACAUUUGUUUUGUUAUGCAAAAAAACAUUGUUCAUUGUAUGGGAAUGAUAAUGCAGAAAUAACGCGCAUUACAGUUGGCUACAUGAUUUUGUUUAUCUGAUUUAAAAAAUAUUUUUUAAAUCCCGUCAUUUGGUGGUAUUUUAAGUAGACAAUCUAUUUCAGUAUGUAAGCAGAGGCACUUUGAGGAGAACCAGCUAAAACGCGUCAGUUAAAUUCGUGCGGCAAACCUCGGUGUGGUCAGCAGCGACGGAAGAUGUAACUUUAUGUUUCAAAUUGGGGUUUAUACGGAUACAUUUCGGGUCUAGACGCGUUAUCCAUCGCAGCGCUUCAAGUUCGGAAAAUAUUACCAAGAAACAGAAGUACAUUUAUUUUGACUACUAACGUUAAUAUCGCUAUGUUCUCUCUCACUUCAAAUAUAUGUGUUUGUGUAAUCCGCCUGCGGUUGUGUAGUUUUUUUUUUAUCGUACCAGGACGAUGCGCACAACCCAUGAAGAUUUAAAAUAAUUGAGGACUUUAUAAAGAUGACCACAGAACGUGUAUGUGUUUCCAUUGGAGUGCUGCUGUUUGCCUUUUUGUCUUUCUCCAUUGUUCAAGGUGCCAGCAGCCAUCACUGAGCGGAUGCAUGAGGAACCCAUGGAGGAUUCAGUCACGGUUUCACACUGUUCUCAAAGGCUUGUCCCUCCCUCCCAAUAGCAUACAAAGUUAUAACUACCGUGAUGGUCACACCACCAACCGGCCGAGUAUGAACCCAGCGGAGGGCAGUGGAGCUGGUUUCAACGUGGGCGGUCUGAAGUCUGUCCUGCAGAACGCCGUGUCCCCAGCCUUCGGCGCCACCAUCAUCAUCAUCAUCACUGUUAUCGUGUCAGGGAGCGCCUACCUCUGUUUCCUCAAGUACAUCUGUGCAGGCUGCUGCAAACCCACACAGGUGGCCCCGGUCACACAACUAGACCCAAACAAGAGUGAGGAGCAGGUGUAGCGGAGUCUGUCAAGUUUCAAGUUUUUAUUGUCACGUGUACUAGUACAAUGAAAUUCCUUUCUUGCUUGUUCUUUUCCAACAAUGCAGUAAUCAAUAUCAGUAAUACUAUAAAAUGAAUUUUAAAAAGUUAAGUGGAACAAAAUCACAAAAUAAGAACACAAGAAAGUAAGUAAGCUAUAUACAGGGUCAGUUCCAGAGUUAGUGCCAAUACUAUUGACAAUGUGUAGGGCAGUGGCUACGCAUCAUUCAGGGCAGAGACCCAACUGUUUGGAGGCACCCCAUUUUUUUGCCUGUUUUGCAUGUUAUUUUGGCAUUAAUAAGUGUCACAUAUCAGUUUGCAAACAAUGUAAAACAUAAAUAAUCAUUGAGUUAAUAAAGCCGC
Molecule: long non-coding RNA, 1608 nt
Organism: Oncorhynchus tshawytscha (Chinook salmon)
Lineage: Eukaryota; Metazoa; Chordata; Actinopteri; Salmoniformes; Salmonidae
Source: Ensembl